This 704-nucleotide long non-coding RNA is filed under the name Phoenix dactylifera (date palm). RNAcentral's name for it is "long non-coding RNA (PDAC_LNC009794)". Lineage: Eukaryota; Viridiplantae; Streptophyta; Magnoliopsida; Arecales; Arecaceae. The record is from RNAcentral.
CGGAAGAGGAGGAUUGAGAUGAAGGUGGAUCACGGAAAGAAUGGGACCUUGAUACUUCGGUUUCGAAACAGAGGAAGCUUGUUUGGACGCCGUGAAAUCUAGGACUUCGUUUUGAACGGGAGGAUGAGACGGAAUGGUUGAAUGCGAAGAAGGCUUAGAAGCUUGGAGGAAAUCUGGGAUGAUACGGAUGACAUGGGAGGGUAGGUUGGAUUUGGCUGGGGUUAAGCUGGGAGAUCCGUGGGAUAAGGAUGAACUUUGUUUUGAGGCUGGGAUGCUUAAUCUACGGACACAGGAUGGGUAGCUUGGGACUUCGUUAAAGGCUGGGAUGAGGGGGGUGGUGUUCUCGGCUGAGAGGAGAUGCCGGAAGAAUUGGAUUUGGGUUCAUCCCGUGGAUCAUGUGAUUCUGUUUUGGGAUGCAGGGAAUCACAAGCGGGAUGAGAGUUGGUUCCGAAACAGGGGAUAAGCUUGGGAAGUUUGCUGGGAUUAGUCCGGAAGGAUGUUGGGAUGUGGAGAAGAUAAGGAUGCUAGGAGGAAGAUACGAUGGGAAGAUGAACUGGGAUGCAGGGGAUUCGGAAGUCAUGGGAAGGAGAAAUGAUUCGUGAGCUGGGAUAUUCGGAGAAGGAAAGAUGUGCUGGGAGCAAAUCCGGAUGGGGUUGAUCCGGCUGAGAUGCGGCUGAGCCGGACGCGUGGGAAGAUGAAAUGGN